CAGCCCCGCGGACCCCGCCUUCCCUCCCUCCCUCCGCGCCCGCCGGGGGAGGGAAACUUUGCCUCUUCGCUGGCCGUGGCCUGCUCUCCCUCGCCUGCCACUGUGGACCUGGGGACAGAUACGCUUCACGGUGACCGUGAAGGAAGCACCCUCCACCCCAGCCGGUGAAGGACACCGGGAGCACGGCCUCCAGGCUGCCGAGGUUGUUUGGAGGUGUUGCCGGGACAAUGAAUGUGCGCGUGUUGGCGAUGUAUGGACUGCUGGGUAGGGAGCGCGGUGGAGGAGGGCUGCUGGGUAUCUAGGGUUCUCGGCUUGCCCUGCCUGGCUCCUCCCUUCUGCUCCAGGUUUUGUAUUUUGACCUCCCCUGUUCCUGUGUUGGAAAGAGACAAGAUAACCAGCCCGACCUCAAACCCAUGAAGAUUUAAUAACUGUACUUCUUUACCCCUGGGCUGACGAUGGUUUGUGUUCUGGCCUCGAUUUGUGGACCAUCCAGAAGAGGCCUGUUAGUCCCGGUCCUCGUAGUAUUGCGUGUGCCUAGUGUGUCCCUGCCUUGCUACCAGUCGUGGGCAGGAAAGGGGCCAUCAGAAAAAAAGCCUGCGCUGUGGGAGAACUCACGCUGCUGGUUUCCAACAGUCAAGACUCACUCUGCAGGCUAGCACUACUGAGCCCAGUCGGCAGGGGGUGCCGGACAGGCCAGCUGCUGCCCUCUAUGAGAGCUUCUUAAAGAUUAUCCCAAGGACACUCGACCUAGAAAGCCCCAGGCCUCAAAGGAUCAAAAGAGUCAUAAAAACCUAGAUCCACUUCACAGAGGACGAAAAGACCCCGGAUAAGUAUUCCUCUCCAGGUCUUGGAACUACUGCUUUUCCCAUUACUAAAGGGGCCAGUUUGCUAAGACCUCUGCCCCAUGUUACCCCACCAUCCUAUGCUGACUCAUGUCUGGCUUCAAUCAGACCCUUGGGAAGAACCUCCAGUCUGGUGGCCAAUCGGGGUCUUACCUUACCACAACCAGGAACUGUUCUUGCUGUUUUCAGUCAAACAGAGCCGACACUGCUGACCUCAGUUGCUGACCAGAUGUCAUGAGCCAAUCACAAAAUGAUUCCUGUUCCAGUAAAUAAUCUAUACCUAAUCACUUCAAAGUACACUUAACCUCAGCUGGAAUUCCUCUAAUCCUGCUUAAAAGAAGCCUUGAAGCUUUGCCUGGGGUCAUCAUUUGCCACUGUGUCAGAUGGUUGAGCCCUGCAUGCUGGAAUUUUUUUUAUUAAACGCUCUUAACUGUUUGCAUACAUGUCUGGUGGUCUUUUAUGGGACUUGUCAUGGACCCAAACUGUAGCAGCAGUAAUAAAUGUAUUCUAGUCUAUUCUGCCUGUUUGAAACAUCUAACAUAGUUCUUGUUUGUCCUCCUUA
Long non-coding RNA from Peromyscus leucopus (white-footed mouse), 1404 nucleotides. RefSeq lists it as uncharacterized. The transcript has 3 exons. The record is from RefSeq and is a predicted model, not a curated record. Lineage: Eukaryota; Metazoa; Chordata; Mammalia; Rodentia; Cricetidae.